Molecule: ribosomal RNA, 423 nt
Filed under: Candidatus Meridianibacter frigidus
Lineage: Bacteria; Bacillati; Vulcanimicrobiota; Vulcanimicrobiia; Vulcanimicrobiales; Vulcanimicrobiaceae
Description: partial 16S ribosomal RNA
Rfam family: Bacterial small subunit ribosomal RNA
Source: RNAcentral
UUUUUUAUGGAGAGUUUGAUCCUGGCUCAGGAUUAACGCUGGCGGCGUGCCUAACACAUGCAAGUCGAACGGGGGUAGCAAUACUCCAGUGGCAGACGGGUGAGUAACACGUGGUCAACCUUCCCUUUAGUGGGGGAUAACUAGCCGAAAGGUUAGCUAAUACCGCAUACGAUUUAUGAGUGGCAUCAUUUAUAAAUGAAAGUAGCAAUACGCUAAAGGAUGGGACCGCGUCCCAUUAGCUAGAUGGUGGGGUAACGGCCUACCAUGGCUCCGAUGGGUAGCUGGUUUGAGAGAGCGACCAGCCACACUGGGACUGAGACACGGCCCAGACUCCUACGGGAGGCAGCAGUUGGGAAUCUUGCGCAAUGGGCGAAAGCCUGACGCAGCAACGCCGCGUGAGGGAUGAAUGUCUUCGGAUUGUAA